GUAGCUCUUAUGGGGCUGUGCUCUGGUUUUGUGCUGAAAAUGGUGUUAAUAACAAGGAGGUUUUCAGCAUUGCACAUAGUUUUCUGCUUCUCACCCCACCAGAGAGAAGACUGGAGGUACACAAGGUGUUGGUCAAGCGACAGCUGACCCCAACCAAUAAGAAGAAUAUUACAUUACAGCAACUUACAUUAUUACAACGUUGUGUUCAGCAAUAAAAUUACUACGAGAGGUUUUCAGGCGUGUUGUAGUCCAGGGACUGUCUGGACUUGGCUGGUGGAGAAGGAAUGAAUCUUCAUCUAUCUCCACAGAGGAAUUUUGCAUGUAAAAAAAGAACGAUGUAGCUUCUUAGGACUUCCAUCUGUCAGAAAUCACACUUUAAAGAAAAAUUAUUAAGUGCAGAGGAAUGCACAUAUAUGCAUACUAGAAAUGAAAGGCUUUCUCACAGCUUUGUUAGUUUCAAGUGCAAGCUCACUGCUUUAACCAGAGCCCCAUCCAGGUGCUCAGAAGUACAGUUCUGGAGCUGGAUGCUGGGAGGAGGAGGAGCACAUGUCAGUGUUAUGGUUAUCAGAUGUCAGUGCUUGGAGGAGUGGAAGAGACAGAAACCUGAUUGUGUAAAUGCAAGGACCCCAGGACCAAAUUCAUAUUUAUGGUCACAAUGGAAUUAAGAGAUUUUGCAAGAUCAUUGAAAUCCCACUCAGCUCCUUGUGAUAAUGAACUCAGGAUAAUAAUCCUACACUGACAAACCAUGCACAGGUGCCUUGAAGGUUGCUGCUCAUGUCAUCCUCCCUCUCUUUCUGCCAUUUGGAGGCAAAACCCCAUUCUCCUUUAACUGCAAGUGAAAAGCUGCACUUUCUUGAAUCUCCAGCCCUUGCAUUUGUUAUAAACUCUGCAUGGUAAAGGUUUGCUUGUGAUCUAAACCACAGGCAGUUUUCCAUUGUUUCAGCUGAAGCAAAAGUCAUGUUUGUCUUGUGCAGCUGGGAUGCUCCAAAAUUCAGAGUUAAUCUGUUUACCUGAAUUUCAACCUAUAAAAUGAUUA
RNAcentral lists this long non-coding RNA (1036 nucleotides) under Cyanistes caeruleus (blue tit). RNAcentral's name for it is "lncRNA (ENSCCEG00000009529.1)". The record is from RNAcentral. Lineage: Eukaryota; Metazoa; Chordata; Aves; Passeriformes; Paridae.